This 440-nucleotide ribosomal RNA is filed under the name uncultured bacterium. Its description in RNAcentral is "partial 16S ribosomal RNA". It matches the Rfam family "Bacterial small subunit ribosomal RNA", at positions 338 to 795 of the family's 1533-position model. The record is from RNAcentral.
CCUACGGGUGGCAGCAGUGGGGGAUAUUGCACAAUGGGGGAAACCCUGAUGCAGCGAAGCCGCGUGUGGGAAGAUGGUCCUCUGGAUUGUAAACCACUGUCCCCAGGGACGAAGAUGACGGUACCUGGGGAGGAAGCUCCGGCUACCUACGUGCCAGCAGCCGCGGUACUACGUAGGGAGCGAGCGUUGUCCGGAAUUACUGGGUGUAAAGGGAGCGUAGGCGGGACUGCAAGUUGGGUGUCAAAUCUACCGGCUCAACCGGUAGCCGCACUCAAAACUGCAGUUCUGGAGUGAAGUAGAGGCAGGCGGAAUUCCUAGUGUAGCGGUGAAAUGCGUAGAGAUUAGGAGGAACACCAGUGGCGAAGGCGGCCUGCUGGGCUUUUACUGACGCUGAGGCUCGAAAGUGUGGGGAGCAAACAGGAUUAGAUACCCCAGUAGUC